RNAcentral lists this ribosomal RNA (479 nucleotides) under uncultured bacterium. RNAcentral describes it as "partial 16S ribosomal RNA". It matches the Rfam family "Bacterial small subunit ribosomal RNA", at positions 28 to 507 of the family's 1533-position model. The record is from RNAcentral.
GAUGAACGCUGGCGGCGUGCUUAACACAUGCAAGUUGAGCGAAGCGCUUACGACAGAGCCUUAGGGGGAAGUUGUAAGGGACUGAGCGGCGGACGGGUGAGUAACGCGUGGGUAACCUGCCUCAUACAGGGGGUUAACAGUUGGACACGGCUGCUAUCACCGCAUAAGGGCACAGUAUCGCAUGAUACGGUGUGAAAAACUCCGGUGGUAUGUGAUGGACCCGCGUCUGAUUAGCUAGUUUGAGGGGUAACGCCCCACAAAGGCGACGAUCAGUAGCCGGGCAGGGAGGGUGAAAGACGACAUUUGAGCUGCGACACAGACCACACUCCUAGGGGAGGCAGCAGAGGGAAAUAUUUCAAAAUGAGGGAGAAACUGAUGCAGCGACGCCGGGUGAAGGAAGAAGUAUCUCGGUAACGAAACUGCUAUCAGCAGAGAUGAAAGUGACGGUACUGGACUAAGAAGCCCCGGCUAACUACGUG